UCCACCAUCCCCAGAAGGGCGGGUCCCAAGACAAGGGAUCUGGGUGCGGGGGAAGCCGGAGGGCAGUGGAAGCGAAGGCAGAGAUAAGAGGCUUUCUGGUCACGUACAACCUCUGGUCUGCUGUCCAAUCAACCACAGGGAGAAGACAAGGAGUGAGGCAACAGAGAGAAACUAAAAAUGCAAGAAUAUGCACCACUAGGAGACCCCAUGGACAGAACCCAGAGGGAGACACAGAAAGAGAGCACAAGCAGGGGGAGCUGCAGAGAGAGAGGG
Long non-coding RNA from Ailuropoda melanoleuca (giant panda), 273 nucleotides. RefSeq lists it as uncharacterized. NCBI's taxonomy places the organism in Eukaryota, Metazoa, Chordata, Mammalia, Carnivora, Ursidae. The transcript is spliced from 3 exons. The record is from RefSeq and is a predicted model, not a curated record.